Molecule: ribosomal RNA, 234 nt
Filed under: uncultured Candidatus Saccharibacteria bacterium
Lineage: Bacteria; Candidatus Saccharimonadota
Description: partial 16S ribosomal RNA
Rfam family: Bacterial small subunit ribosomal RNA
Source: RNAcentral
UAAGCAAAUAGUGAAAGCGUGCGGCUCAACCGCAUGUCCAUUAUUUGAACUGUAUAGCUAGAGGAUGAGAGAGGUUAUUGGAAUUUCUAGUGUAGGAGUGAAAUCCGUAGAUAUUAGAAGGAACACCGAUGGCGUAGGCAGAUAACUGGCUCAUUCCUGACACUAAGGCACGAAAGCGUGGGAGCGAACGGGAUUAGAUACCCCGGUAGUCCACGCCGUAAACUAUGGAUGCUA